ACACACUCAUUCACAUAGGUGAUAGACGUGCUACAGACCGUGGGAGACUCGAACGGGUAGUAGGGCGGAGCCGGGAACCGCGACGCAACCGAAACGCUUCAGAAACCGCAACGGAACAGGCAUGCGAAGCGGUCAAGAUUCGAAAAAGAAAACGGAGCGAA
This is a non-coding RNA of Caenorhabditis elegans, 161 nucleotides long. The record is from Ensembl. Lineage: Eukaryota; Metazoa; Nematoda; Chromadorea; Rhabditida; Rhabditidae.